AGUCGAGGGGCAGCGGGGAGGUAGCAAUACUUCCGCCGGCGACCGGCGCACGGGUGAGUAACACGUAUGGAACCUGCCCGUAGCAGGGGGAUAAGCGGAAGAAAUUCCGUCUAAUACCGCGUAAUAACUCCGAGAGGCAUCUCAUGGGGUUUAAAGGGUGACACCGGCUACGGAUGGCCAUGCGGCGCAUUAGCUAGUUGGCGGGGUAACGGCCCACCAAGGCGACGAUGCGUAGGGGUUCUGAGAGGAAGGUCCCCCACACUGGUACUGAGACACGGACCAGACUCCUACGGGAGGCAGCAGUGAGGAAUAUUGGUCAAUGGGCGCGAGCCUGAACCAGCCAAGUCGCGUGAGGGAAGACGGUCCUAUGGAUUGUAAACCUCUUUUGCCGGGGAGCAAAAGACGCCACGUGUGGCGUUCCGAGAGUACCCGAAGAAAAAGCAUCGGCUAACUCCGUGCCAGCAGCCGCGGUAAUACGGAGGAUUCAAGCGUUAUCCGGAUUUAUUGGGUUUAAAGGGUGCGUAGGCGGUCGGAUAAGUUAGAGGUGAAAUCCCGGGGCUCAACUUCGGAAUUGCCUCUGAUACUGUUCGGCUAGAGAGUAGUUGCGGUAGGCGGAAUGUAUGGUGUAGCGGUGAAAUGCUUAGAGAUCAUACAGAACACCGAUUGCGAAGGCAGCUUACCAAGCUACUUCUGACGUUGAGGCACGAAAGCGUGGGGAGCAAACAGGAUUAGAUACCCUGGUAGUCCACGCAGUAAACGAUGAUAACUCGUUGUCGGCGAUACAAUAUCGGUGACUAAGCGAAA
RNAcentral lists this ribosomal RNA (804 nucleotides) under uncultured bacterium. RNAcentral describes it as "bacterial SSU rRNA". It matches the Rfam family "Bacterial small subunit ribosomal RNA", at positions 60 to 856 of the family's 1533-position model. The record is from RNAcentral.